UACGUAGGGGGCAAGCGUUGUCCGGAUUUAUUGGGCGUAAAGAGCGUGUAGGCGGCUUUACAGGUCCGUUGUGAAAACUCGAGGCUCAACCUCGAGACGCCGGUGGAAACCGUAAGGCUAGAGUCCGGAAGAGGAGAGUGGAAUUCCUGGUGUAGCGGUGAAAUGCGCAGAUAUCAGGAAGAACACCAGUGGCGAAGGCGACACGCUGGGCCGUACCUGACACUGAUGCGCGACAGCAUGGGGAGCAAACAGG
Molecule: ribosomal RNA, 253 nt
Filed under: uncultured bacterium
Lineage: Bacteria
Description: partial 16S ribosomal RNA
Rfam family: Bacterial small subunit ribosomal RNA
Source: RNAcentral